UACAGAGGUCUCAAGCGUUGUUCGGAAUUACUGGGCGUAAAGGGUGCGCAGGCCGCGCGGGCAGUCAAAUGUGUAAUUCAGGGGCUCAACCUCUGGACUGCGCUUGAUACUUCCGCGCUCGAACCUUGGAGAGGGAUCUGGAAUUCUCGGUGUAGCAGUGAAAUGCGUGGAUAUCGAGAAGAACACCUAGGGCGAAAGCAAGAUCCUGGACAAGUGUUGACGCUCAUGCACGAAGGCUAGGGUAGCGAAC
Molecule: ribosomal RNA, 250 nt
Filed under: uncultured bacterium
Lineage: Bacteria
Description: partial 16S ribosomal RNA
Rfam family: Bacterial small subunit ribosomal RNA
Source: RNAcentral